GUGUUUACUUCAGCAGCACAGAUACAAAAAUUGAAACGAUAAAGAGAAGAUUAGUAUGGCCCCUGCGCAAAGUCAGGAUUGACUACUCUGACUAGCAGUGUCUCUUA
This is a small nuclear RNA of Eublepharis macularius, 107 nucleotides long. Lineage: Eukaryota; Metazoa; Chordata; Lepidosauria; Squamata; Eublepharidae. The record is from RefSeq and is a predicted model, not a curated record.